GGGAAUAUUGCACAAUGGGCGCAAGCCUGAUGCAGCAACGCCGCGUGAGGGACGACGGCCUUCGGGUUGUAAACCUCUUUUAGCAGGGAAGAAGCGGAAGUGACGGUACCUGCAGAAAAAGCACCGGCUAACUACGUGCCAGCAGCCGCGGUAAUACGUAGGGUGCAAGCGUUGUCCGGAAUUAUUGGGCGUAAAGAGCUCGUAGGCGGUUUGUCGCGUCUGCUGUGAAAACGCGAGGCUCAACCUCGCGCCUGCAGUGGGUACGGGCAGACUAGAGUGCGGUAGGGGAGAUUGGAAUUCCUGGUGUAGCGGUGGAAUGCGCAGAUAUCAGGAGGAACACCGAUGGCGAAGGCAGAUCUCUGGGCCGUAACUGACGCUGAGGAGCGAAAGCGUGGGGAGCGAAC
This 404-nucleotide ribosomal RNA is filed under the name uncultured bacterium. RNAcentral's name for it is "bacterial SSU rRNA". It matches the Rfam family "Bacterial small subunit ribosomal RNA", at positions 357 to 773 of the family's 1533-position model. The record is from RNAcentral.